Molecule: ribosomal RNA, 151 nt
Filed under: Petractis hypoleuca
Lineage: Eukaryota; Fungi; Ascomycota; Lecanoromycetes; Ostropales; Gyalectaceae
Description: 5.8S ribosomal RNA
Rfam family: 5.8S ribosomal RNA
About the family: 5.8S ribosomal RNA (5.8S rRNA) is a component of the large subunit of the eukaryotic ribosome. It is transcribed by RNA polymerase I as part of the 45S precursor that also contains 18S and 28S rRNA.
Source: RNAcentral
CUUUCAACAACGGAUCUCUUGGUUCUGGCAUCGAUGAAGAACGCAGCGAAAUGCGAUAAGUAAUGUGAAUUGCAGAAUUCCGUGAAUCAUCGAAUCUUUGAACGCACAUUGCACCCUCUGGUAUUCCGGGGGGUAUGCCUGUUCGAGCGUC